AAUCCUACAAUUUGGUCUCAUG
Molecule: non-coding RNA, 22 nt
Filed under: Arabidopsis thaliana (thale cress)
Lineage: Eukaryota; Viridiplantae; Streptophyta; Magnoliopsida; Brassicales; Brassicaceae
Source: RNAcentral